This 76-nucleotide transfer RNA is filed under the name Acidobacteriota bacterium. RNAcentral describes it as "Acidobacteria bacterium (marine metagenome) tRNA-Ala". It matches the Rfam family "tRNA". Rfam says of the family: Transfer RNA (tRNA) molecules are approximately 80 nucleotides in length. Their secondary structure includes four short double-helical elements and three loops (D, anti-codon, and T loops). The record is from RNAcentral. Lineage: Bacteria; Pseudomonadati; Acidobacteriota.
GGGCCAGUGGCGCAGUUGGGAGCGCGCGUGACUGGCAGUCACGAGGUCGCGGGUUCGAACCCCGCCAGCUCCACCA